This 292-nucleotide ribosomal RNA is filed under the name uncultured bacterium. Its description in RNAcentral is "partial 16S ribosomal RNA". It matches the Rfam family "Bacterial small subunit ribosomal RNA", at positions 505 to 796 of the family's 1533-position model. The record is from RNAcentral.
GUGUCAGCAGCCGCGGUAAGACGAACUGUCCUAACGUUGUUCGGAAUCACUGGGCUUAAAGGGCGCGUAGGCGGUCCGACAAGUCAGGGGUGAAAUCCUGCAGCUUAACUGCAGAAGUGCCUCUGAUACUGUCGGUCUGGAGGGAGAUAGGGGUGUGCGGAACUUCCAGUGGAGCGGUGAAAUGCGUUGAUAUUGGAAGGAACGCCGGAGGCGAAAGCGGCGCACUGGAUCUCUUCUGACGCUGAGGCGCGAAAGCUAGGGGAGCAAACGGGAUUAGAAACCCCCGUAGUCC